GCGUGAGUGAAGAAGGCCUUAGGGUUGUAAAGCUCUUUCGGUGGUGACGAUGAUGACGGUAGCCACAGAAGAAGCACCGGCUAACUCCGUGCCAGCAGCCGCGGUAAUACGGAGGGUGCAAGCGUUGUUCGGAAUUACUGGGCGUAAAGGGCGCGUAGGCGGCGAUGCAAGUCAGAGGUGAAAGCCCUGGGCUCAACCCGGGAAUGGCCUUUGAAACUGCAUGGCUUUGAGUCCGGGAGAGGAUGGCGGAAUUCCCAGUGUAGAGGUGAAAUUCGU
This 276-nucleotide ribosomal RNA is filed under the name uncultured bacterium. RNAcentral's name for it is "partial 16S ribosomal RNA". It matches the Rfam family "Bacterial small subunit ribosomal RNA", at positions 399 to 691 of the family's 1533-position model. The record is from RNAcentral.